RNAcentral lists this non-coding RNA (27 nucleotides) under Rattus norvegicus (Norway rat). The record is from RNAcentral. Lineage: Eukaryota; Metazoa; Chordata; Mammalia; Rodentia; Muridae.
CAGUGAGAGAACUGAGUGUCCCACUGG